RNAcentral lists this ribosomal RNA (429 nucleotides) under uncultured Rhodospirillaceae bacterium. RNAcentral describes it as "bacterial SSU rRNA". It matches the Rfam family "Bacterial small subunit ribosomal RNA", at positions 29 to 505 of the family's 1533-position model. Lineage: Bacteria; Pseudomonadati; Pseudomonadota; Alphaproteobacteria; Rhodospirillales; Rhodospirillaceae. The record is from RNAcentral.
AACGAACGCUGGCGGCAUGCCUAACACAUGCAAGUCGAACGAGACUUCGGUCUAGUGGCGGACGGGUGAGUAACGCGUAGGAACCUGCCAAGUAGUGGGGAAUAACAGUUGGAAACGACUGCUAAUACCGCAUACGCCCUUCGGGGGAAAGAUUUAUCGCUAUCUGAGGGUCCUGCGUUCGAUUAGCUAGUUGGCGGGGUAACGGCCCACCAAGGCGACGAUCGAUAGCUGGUCUGAGAGGAUGAUCAGCCACACUGGGACUGAGACACGGCCCAGACUCCUACGGGAGGCAGCAGUGGGGAAUAUUGGACAAUGGGGGAAACCCUGAUCCAGCAAUGCCGCGUGCGUGAAGAAGGCCUUAGGGUUGUAAAGCGCUUUCACCUGUGAUGAUGAUGACAGUAACAGGAGAAGAAGCCCCGGCUAACUCCG